Molecule: ribosomal RNA, 115 nt
Organism: Cricetulus griseus (Chinese hamster)
Lineage: Eukaryota; Metazoa; Chordata; Mammalia; Rodentia; Cricetidae
Source: Ensembl
GCUGGGUGUCUGGGCAUACGACCCUGACCUCUUCUGGUCUCCAAAGCUAAGCAGCCUUGGGCCUGGCUGGUACUUGGAUGGGAGAACUUGAGCAGGAGCCCGAGAGCUCUGAGCU